UGAAAGGUUUGGUCCUAGCCUUAGUGUUAAUUGUAACUAAAAUUAUACAUGCAAGUUUCAGCACCCCUGUGAGAAUGCCCUAAUCAAUCUAUGUCAAUUGACUAGGAGCAGGUAUCAGGCACAUACCAUUUAGCCCAAGACACCUUGCUAAGCCACACCCCCAAGGGAUUUCAGCAGUAAUAAACAUUGAUACAUAAGCGAAAGCUUGAAUCAGUUAAAGUCAAUAGAGUUGGUAAAUCUCGUGCCAGCCACCGCGGUUAUACGAGUAACCCAAAUUAACACUCCACGGUGUAAAGAGUGAUUUAAGGAAAAACUAUAACCAUUAAAGUUAAAACUUCACCCAACUGUUAUACGUAUACAUGAACAGAAUAAUCAACAACGAAAGUGACUUUAUAUAAUCAGUAAUCUUGAUGUCACGACAGUUAGGGCCCAAACUAGGAUUAGAAACCCUACUAUGCCUAACUAUAAACUUAGACAAUAAUCCACUAUAUUGUUCACCAGAGUACUACAAGCGCUAGCUUAAAACCCAAAGGACUUGGCGGUGUCCCACACCCACCUAGAGGAGCCUGUUCUAUAACCGAUAAUCCUCGUUAAACCUCACCACUUCUUGCCAUCCCCGCCUAUAUACCGCCGUCGUCAGCUUACCUUAUGAAAGACAAAAAGUAAGCACAAAGAAUUUAAACUUCUAUACGUCAGGUCGAGGUGUAGCGAAUGAAGUGGAAAGAAAUGGGCUACAUUUUUUUAACCAAAAAACACGGACAGUAAACUGAAAAAUUACUUAAAGGUGGAUUUAGCAGUAAGAAAAGACCAAAAUACUUUACUGAAACCGGCCCUGGGACGCGCACACACCGCCCGUCACUCUCCUCAAUAACAUUCAUUAUUUAUUUAAAAAAAUUCCCUAAACAAGAGGAGGCAAGUCGUAACAUGGUAAGUGUACUGGAAAGUGCACUUGGAAU
This 956-nucleotide non-coding RNA is filed under the name Ginglymostoma cirratum (nurse shark). RNAcentral describes it as "12S ribosomal RNA". It matches the Rfam family "Bacterial small subunit ribosomal RNA". The record is from RNAcentral. Lineage: Eukaryota; Metazoa; Chordata; Chondrichthyes; Orectolobiformes; Ginglymostomatidae.